RNAcentral lists this small nucleolar RNA (108 nucleotides) under Eutrema salsugineum. RNAcentral describes it as "Plant small nucleolar RNA R71". It matches the Rfam family "Plant small nucleolar RNA R71". Rfam says of the family: R71 is a member of the C/D box family of snoRNAs containing the C (UGAUGA) and D (CUGA) box motifs. Multiple nearly identical copies of this snoRNA have been identified in Arabidopsis, and it is thought to function as a 2'-O-ribose methylation guide for 18S ribosomal RNA. The record is from Rfam by way of RNAcentral. Lineage: Eukaryota; Viridiplantae; Streptophyta; Magnoliopsida; Brassicales; Brassicaceae.
UAUCCAUGGUGUGGACAAUUUCACUGGUAUUCCCUAAAUCUUUCCCAAGUAUCUAAAAGAUCUUCAUCUUCUUUUUGUUUAAAAGUUGUUAUCUUGUUUCUUAAGAGA